Magnolia sinica is the source of this 1491-nucleotide long non-coding RNA. RefSeq lists it as uncharacterized. The transcript is spliced from 3 exons. Lineage: Eukaryota; Viridiplantae; Streptophyta; Magnoliopsida; Magnoliales; Magnoliaceae. The record is from RefSeq and is a predicted model, not a curated record.
AAGCCCAAAGUCGGCAACUUUUGGCUUGAAGUUGUCAUCAAGGAGAAUGUUGUGAGGCUUGAUGUCAAAAUGUAGAAUCUUCAUGUCACAACCUUGAUGAAGAUAUUUGAUCCCGCGUGCUAUCCCCUAUGCAAUCUGGUACUUCUUCUCCCAACUCAAAGGGCUGCUCUUACCUUCAUGGGAAUAUAUAUAUAUAUAUAUAUAUAUUUCUAGAGAGCCAUUAGGCAUGUACUCAUAGAUAAGAGCCCUUUUCGAUCCCUCUGCACAAAAUCCAAUGAGUCGGACCACAUUGACAUGAUGAUUUUGUGGUGGGCCCAUGGUGGAUGGAAGAUCUAUAGUUACGGAUUUUGCUCCUUUUUUUGGUAGUGUAAAUAUACUCACCAUUCUCCAUAAACUGUGUAGUCCUUCUAAUUUGCUUAUGGCCUAUGAAUUUUGUAGGUACAUCGGAUCAGUUUUACAAACAUUGCUACUCCUCAUCGAACGACUUCCGCCAAAGGUUGCUACUCUCAUUUUUUAGCAGUUACAGAGGCAUAAACUGUGUGCAUAGAUUUUUUAUGUGGGUUAGGGAUGGAUUGUUUUGUUGCAUGGAAGGGAAAAAAAAGUUUGGAUUUGAGAUGGGUUAGAUAUGCUAUGCUGAAAAAACACUUGGCUCAUAUACUACCUCUAUUUCUUUUGUGAAGAUUCCACAACAAGCAAUCGGGGCAACCAUCAAGCAUCACAUUUGCCAAAAAAAAUGGGUCUAAUGGAUCCCGCAGAUUCAGGAUUAAGCUCUAAUGUCAAUUUUGACAACCCAUGCCCUCCAUGUCAGAUUUGAAGGUGCUAGCAGCUCUUUUCUCCUUUCAAUCACAAUUUUCAAUCAUUUAGUUUCUUUUUCCAACUUAAAAUAAUUGUGAUUAUGCAGGGAAACUGCCUUUGUGUGACAGAAUCUGAUGUGGAGGUUAUGGGGCCUGCCUAAUUUUGCAGGAUCUCAUUCCCAAAUGGGUACUAUAUAAGAAGCUAUCAUUUUGAAGACUAUGGAGCUGUUCAAAUUUUUUUUUUUUUUGGGAAGUCUAUGGACUCAUCAAUCAGUCAUACCUACCAAUUUGAAUCCCCAUUCAGGAGGGAUUCUCUAUCACAUGUUUUCAGUGAAUUGAUGUUUGCUUGCACUACUUUUUCAUGGUUAUUUCAAUACAGUGUGAGGACAUUUCAACAGGCAAUACUCUUGUUGUUUGGGGUAGAGUGGAAAACAUAACUGGCCUUUAUGCAGGCUGCCAUUUCUCACUUUUGAUGCUACAAUCACAACUGGACACAGCACACCUGUCAUGGUUUCUUAGCAAAUCACAUUCUUCUAGAAUUGUCUUCCAUUCUGGGUUCAACUGUUCUCAGUUGGUUCUCUUUUUCAUAUUCGAAAUUGGCUUUCAUUUUCAUUAGUCUCUCACAGGGUCUCCAUCGUUCCUCUUACAUGCUUAAUGUUGCGAUGUUGCAUCAUCUAGUUAGCAUUAGAUGCCUUUA